AUUGAACGCUGGCGGCAGGCCUAACACAUGCAAGUCGAGCGGAUGAAGGGAGCUUGCUCCUGGAUUCAGCGGCGGACGGGUGAGUAAUGCCUAGGAAUCUGCCUGGUAGUGGGGGAUAACGCCCGGAAACGGGCGCUAAUACUGCAUAAGUCCUGAUGGAGAUAGUGGGGGAGCUUUGGACCUCACGCUAUCAGAUGAGCGUAGGUCGGAUUAGCUAGCUGGUGGGGUAAAGGCCUACCAAGGCGACGAUCCGUAACUGGUCUGAGAGGAUGAUAAGUCACACUGGAACUGAGACACGGUCCAGACUCCUACGGGAGGCAGCAGUGGGGAAUAUUGGACAAUGGGCGAAAGCCUGAUCCAGCCAUGCCGCGUGUGUGAAGAAGGUCUUCGGAUUGGAAAGCACGUUAAGUUGGGAGGAAGGGCAGUAAGUUAAUACCUUGCUGUUUUGACGUUACCAACAGAAUAAGCACCGGCUAACUUCGUG
Molecule: ribosomal RNA, 484 nt
Filed under: uncultured bacterium
Lineage: Bacteria
Description: partial 16S ribosomal RNA
Rfam family: Bacterial small subunit ribosomal RNA
Source: RNAcentral